GUCUGAGGCAGGUGCAACGUGAGAAAUCCAGAGAUUCAUGAGGGGGUGGGGCAGGCUUAGAAAAGGGAGAAUCUGCUGCCAGAGAGGCCAGAUGCCAUGAGUCCGAAGGAAUCAUCCCGCCCCCAGCAGACAAGCCUGGAGCCAGCCUGCUCCUCUGGCCAAAGCAUUCCACCCCUGGACCUCUCCUCCAGGUACUUCCUGUCCAGACGGGCAGUGGCCCCAGAGCCUGGGAAACCUGCCCCACAGCCCAUAGGAUAAGAAGAAACCAAGUCCUAAAAGUAGGCCAGCACCAGGAUUCAGGCCUCUGACUUCAAGCCAAGGGCUCAUCAUCUUGAAUUGCGCACGAAUUUUUACACAGCGCCAAAGGAAACUGCCUGUACUUACUGUUGUAGGUAAGACAAACCUUUGCUUAUUUUUACUUCUCAUGAAUAAAUAGUUGCAAGAAGAACUGCUG
Molecule: long non-coding RNA, 454 nt
Organism: Pan paniscus (pygmy chimpanzee)
Lineage: Eukaryota; Metazoa; Chordata; Mammalia; Primates; Hominidae
Source: Ensembl